GAUGAAGAACGCAGCGAAAUGCGAUAAGUAAUGUGAAUUGCAGAAUUCAGUGAAUCAUCGAAUCUUUGAACGCACAUUGCGCCCUUUGGUAUUCCGAAGGGCAUGCCUGUUCGAGCGUCAUUUCACCACUCAAGCCUGGCUUGGUAUUGGGCGCCGCGGUCGAUCCGCGCGCCUCAAAGUCUCCGGCUGAGCUGUCCGUCUCUAAGCGUUGUGAUUUCAUUAAUCGCUUCGGAGUGCGGGCGGCCGCGGCCGUUAAAUCUUUCACAAGGUUGACCUCGGAUCAGGUAGGGAUACCCGCUGAACUUAAGCAUAUCAAUAAGCGGAUGA
RNAcentral lists this unclassified non-coding RNA (327 nucleotides) under soil metagenome. RNAcentral describes it as "partial contains 5.8S ribosomal RNA, internal transcribed spacer 2, and large subunit ribosomal RNA". The stretch from base 1 to 120 matches the Rfam family "5.8S ribosomal RNA", at positions 35 to 154 of the family's 154-position model. The record is from RNAcentral.